AUUGAACGCUGGCGGCAGGCCUAACACAUGCAAGUCGAGCGGUAACAGGGAUUAGCUUGCUAAUCUGCUGACGAGCGGCGGACGGGUGAGUAAUGCCUGGGAAAUUGCCCUGAUGUGGGGGAUAACCAUUGGAAACGAUGGCUAAUACCGCAUAAUGCCUACGGGCCAAAGAGGGGGACCUUCGGGCCUCUCGCGUCAGGAUAUGCCCAGGUGGGAUUAGCUAGUUGGUGAGGUAAUGGCUCACCAAGGCGACGAUCCCUAGCUGGUCUGAGAGGAUGAUCAGCCACACUGGAACUGAGACACGGUCCAGACUCCUACGGGAGGCAGCAGUGGGGAAUAUUGCACAAUGGGCGCAAGCCUGAUGCAGCCAUGCCGCGUGUAUGAAGAAGCCUUCGGGUUGUAAAGUACUUUCAGUAAGGANGAAGCGUCUAUGUUAAUAGCAUAAUCGUUUGACGUUACUUACAGAAGAAGCACCGGCUAACUCCGUGC
Molecule: ribosomal RNA, 489 nt
Filed under: marine proteobacterium 'Sippewissett 2'
Lineage: Bacteria; Pseudomonadati; Pseudomonadota; Gammaproteobacteria; Vibrionales; Vibrionaceae
Description: bacterial SSU rRNA
Rfam family: Bacterial small subunit ribosomal RNA
Source: RNAcentral